GCCAGUGUGGCGUAGUGGUUUGAGCAUUGGACUAUGAUUCUGGAGAUCAGGGUUCGAAUCCCCUCUCAGCUA
This 72-nucleotide transfer RNA is filed under the name Phrynosoma platyrhinos (Desert horned lizard). RNAcentral's name for it is "tRNA-OTHER". Lineage: Eukaryota; Metazoa; Chordata; Lepidosauria; Squamata; Phrynosomatidae. The record is from RNAcentral.